CGGGACGGGUGAGUAAUGUCUGGGAAACUGCCCGAUGGAGGGGGAUAACUACUGGAACGGUAGCUAAUACCGCAUAAUGUCUGCGGACCAAAGCGGGGGACCUCCGGGCCUCGCGCCAUCAGAUGAACCCAUAUGGGAUUAGCUUGUAGGUAAGGUAACGGCUUACCUAGGCGACGAUCCCUAGCUGGUCUGAGAGGAUGAUCAGCCACACUGGAACUGAGACACGGCCCAG
Molecule: ribosomal RNA, 232 nt
Filed under: uncultured bacterium
Lineage: Bacteria
Description: partial 16S ribosomal RNA
Rfam family: Bacterial small subunit ribosomal RNA
Source: RNAcentral